AAUGAACGCUGGCGGCGCGCCUAAUACAUGCAAGUCGAGCGAGAAGACGUAGCAAUACGUUUGUAAAGCGGCGAACGGGUGAGGAAUACAUGGGUAACCUACCCUAGAGUGGGGAAUAACUAGCCGAAAGGUUAGCUAAUACCGCGUACGCUCCUUGGACUUCGGUUCAGGGAGGAAAGCGAUACCGAGGGUAUCGCGCUCUUGGAUGGGCUCAUGUCCUAUCAGCUUGUUGGGAGGUAACGGCUCACCAAGGCUUCGACGGGUAGCUGGUCUGAGAGGACGAUCAGCCACACUGGCACUGCGACACGGGCCAGACUCCUACGGGAGGCAGCAGUAAGGAAUAUUGCGCAAUGGGCGAAAGCCUGACGCAGCGACGCCGCGGUGGGGGAUGAAGGUCUUCGGAUUGUAAACCCCUUUCGGGAGGGAAGAUGGAACGAGCAAUCGUUCGGACGGUACCUCCAGAAGCAGCC
This 470-nucleotide ribosomal RNA is filed under the name uncultured bacterium. Its description in RNAcentral is "bacterial SSU rRNA". It matches the Rfam family "Bacterial small subunit ribosomal RNA", at positions 29 to 492 of the family's 1533-position model. The record is from RNAcentral.